RNAcentral lists this long non-coding RNA (328 nucleotides) under Capsicum annuum. RNAcentral describes it as "long non-coding RNA (CANN_LNC014615)". The record is from RNAcentral. Lineage: Eukaryota; Viridiplantae; Streptophyta; Magnoliopsida; Solanales; Solanaceae.
UAGUAGUUUAUGGUUGUUGCUCCACAUGGGAGUGCUUGUUGAUGGAUCUCAUGAGUAUUUUCUAUCCUUUAGAUAUUUUUGGCUUUUUCUUGCUUGUACAUUCAAGGACAAACGUGAAUCUUACUGGUGGAUACUAUAAUGGCCCUCAUUGUGAUUUUAGAAUUUAUAUGUUUUUACCAUUUUCCCCUCCUCGUGGUUGUAUUAUUUGAUUUAUGAGUUGUGGGGAUGGUUGUACGGUUCCUAAUAAAUUUGGUAGUGUGUUAUUGGAGCUUACAAUUUUGAGUAUCUUUGAAAAGAUAAGUUUGACUUUGGUCAACAUUUGCUCAGA